This 30-nucleotide small RNA is filed under the name Bombyx mori (domestic silkworm). Its description in RNAcentral is "ovarian small RNA-37263". The record is from RNAcentral. Lineage: Eukaryota; Metazoa; Arthropoda; Insecta; Lepidoptera; Bombycidae.
UUCCUACCUAAGCGAUAGCCCUAGCGGCUA